Neofelis nebulosa (Clouded leopard) is the source of this 2402-nucleotide long non-coding RNA. RefSeq lists it as uncharacterized. The record is from RefSeq and is a predicted model, not a curated record. The transcript has 2 exons. NCBI's taxonomy places the organism in Eukaryota, Metazoa, Chordata, Mammalia, Carnivora, Felidae.
CUUAAAAAAUAUAUCAUAUAUGUAUUAUAUGAUAUAUAUUUUUUAGAUCACUGUGUUUUGGGGUCUUUGUUAUAUCAGCUUAAUCUAGACCCUAGCUUAUACUGCCUCAGUGUGCCAUACAAAUAUUCAUUUUGUUUCUGUUUGUGCCGUGAUGAAGGUUGGGAAUCACCAUGACCUGGACCAUUUCUUCUUUGUCCCUUUUGCUAACUCCUCCUCCCCAGUGUCAUCAAGGGGGAAAUCCUUUCCCUCCUACCCAUUCAGGUAUGUAGCUUAUUCUGGUCCCAAGAUAGAGAUUGGAUACCCCCAAUUCUUGCAGAAAAAUUGGGCAUAUGGGGGUGUUGACCAUUACCUUGCUUUGGGUUGCACCUGGAGUAAAGCUUGGUGAGCCUCAAUGCUGGAAGUCCCCAGGAUGUCCCCAUCCACAAUCCCCCCCAGGAGCCCAGCACCCGUGAAAGACUGUACUGCAUCAUGAGUUGCCCUGGCAUAGUGUUUCCUCAUGGGUUCCUUUCCUAUCUGGGAGACAGGAGUUCUGCCUCCUUCAAGAAAGAUACUUUCACUGCUGUUUCCGCAGCUCUCACAAGUCUUUCUUCUGCUCUGCCCGGUCUGAGUCGAACAGUGACACCAGGAAAACCAAGCCUCCCAAAGUUUAUCUCCAUGCUUCUGAGCUAGGUCAUAAGGCAAGAAGCUGCCAAAAUUAAUAUGAACUUCGGGCUCCUUGGCUUACUGGUACCUUUGGACGAGCCCCACUAGAGCGCUCCUCUCCCAGGAGGAGCCUCACACUUCCAGGGCUUCUUGACAACAGCACCUGGGGGCUGCACUGGUGGGCAGGGGUCCAUAGAACUGUCCUUCCUCCACCCUUCAGAGUUGAUUCCUUUCCACCUCUGACUUCGGUGCCCUUCAUCCGCCCCCCGCCAGUACCCCUUCUCUUGUGCAAGAACACCACUUGAGGCCCUAGCCCUAGCUUGGCUGGCUGGAACCGGAAGCCGAGGGGAUUUGGCUCUGGGGCGCACCAGUGCCCGCCAGUUGUGCGGGUUAGAUCACUCGGAGCACCUGCUUCUCCCUCCUGAACUAUGAGCCCCAACGUCCUUCGAGACGGAUCGUUUCCAGCCUUCUCCCAACUACAUUUCCCAGAGUCCGCCGGGGCCCUUUCGAGCCCUCUGAAGCGCGUGGCAGCCUGAGUGCCUGGCCUUUCUUUAAGGUGAGAGGAGGGGGCGGGGUGUGUGUGUUUCGGUAUGAUUUUCGCAAAGGCGUUGGGCGCUGCUUCUCUCCUGCUGCACGUGAGGUGGUGCGGCCUCCUGCCCCUCUUCCUCCCUCCCACUCCCCGUCAGGAAAAAAAGUUGUGAACUCAAACUCCCAGAGCCUAGGGGCAAGUUCUGUGGAAGAAUGCAGCCGUUUUGACCCGGAUGCAGGCCCUCUUUGGUGUUUGAGUGACUCAAAACCAGACUUUUGGGGUUUUUUUGCGGGGGGGGGGGGGGGCGUGAAGAAUCUUAAUGUGUAUCAGGGGCCAGAGAAGGAAGCGGAAUGAGUUUGAAAUCAUGCAUGUUUGGAAGCUGCGAGACAGGUGUGGAGUCUUCUGUCUCCUUUUUCUUCCUCCAGACUUCUAGAACUCUAGUCCUAACAAGAGGAGCCUGAGGGAAGAAGUUUGCACUACUUAAAGCCUUAAAGUCUUGGCCAGAUGGCAUGCAGCCUCAAUUGCCUCAUCCAGAACAUUCUCAGACUUACUGACCUACAAGAGUGGCAGGCAGUGUUCUCUCCCCUGAGCCUUCAACACAUGGUUGCUUACAGGGUACCUGGAAGGUGAAGGUAAGCCUUGAUGAUGGAGGCUUUAGCCAUAUCAGAGGCUCAAAUAUUCUGACUUCCUAGAGGCUAUCCUUACUUUUCCUUUCCCCUUCACACUCCAAGGAGCAUCACUGAGGUAGCACUUUUUUCUCUUAUCCUGGGGAGACAGGAUAUUAUUUCUUUUUCACCCCUAACUUUCCUGUAUCUCUGUCUUUAAUGCAGGGCUUGUCCUUCUACUAGUACAGAUACAGGACACUCCACAUCCUGCUCUUCCCACGCACAAAAUGUCAAACCUACCCUUGACAUUUCUUUGUCAUUUGCUUGCUCUGGAAGCAACUCUCUUAGAAUCAACAAGGUAUAAUGAUGGAUUAAAAAUGAGCCAGGAAUCAUUUGACAUUUUUCUCAUUGUGAAGAGAUCUCCAAUUCUGCCUCUUGAAUCUGGGGUGUUCUUAAUGGUUUGCUUGACCAGUAGAUUAUGGCAGAAGUAAUACUCUGUGAUUUCUGAAGCUAGGUUAUAAGAAGCCUGUAGCUUCUGCCUAGUUGUCUUGGAACACUCAAUCUUGGGAUGCUCCACAUGGGAACCGAACCACCAUUAAAAAAAAAAAAGAAGCCAAAACCCACCC